AUAAUGUUUAUACAAGAUUGCGCGAGAACAACAUAACCUAUAUCUAUAAUAUAAUACAGCUAUUUUCUAACAAUUUUUAUUGUAGUGCAAACACAUAAUUAAAUAUAAUCCUAUGCAUAUGCUAAUGUAUAAUGUAUACGAUUUAUAUACAACGUCAAUAAUUAAUAUUAUACAAUACAAUAUUGCGAUUCGUACACGGCGGGAGAGUUUCGAAAGUUGUACAAUAUAUCUGUUCCCGCGAUAUACAAUGAUAUAUAUAUAUAUAUAUCAUGAAUUUAAUUAACUAUAUUAAAAUUUACGGUUAUUUAAAUUAACAUUACCGCGUGUUUAUAGGACUCGUUAAGUAUAAUAAUAUAUAGGUACACGGUCACGUUGCGAUAUAUUGGAUUAUAGUACAAAACCGAUCAUGUAUAAUAGUAUCAUAUUAUUAAUCACUAAUAAUGAUAAAAAUAAAAAUAAAAAUAAAAAUAAAAAUAAUAAUCAUAAAAAUUAUAAUAAUAAAAAUAAUAAUUAUAAUAAUAAUGUUAUAUUAUUAUUUUAUCGUUUCGCGCACGCGUUUCACGGUCAGUGGCUCGUAUACAUAUAUACGAAAUACACGGUCGCGUCGUAACGCAACAAACAGGGGUCGUAGCGCGCGCGCGCGUAAACAAUCCCCCAAAUAGGGGAAGGGGGUUAAGG
Cinara cedri is the source of this 678-nucleotide non-coding RNA. The record is from the annotation of a GenBank genome assembly. NCBI's taxonomy places the organism in Eukaryota, Metazoa, Arthropoda, Insecta, Hemiptera, Aphididae.